RNAcentral lists this long non-coding RNA (1413 nucleotides) under Bos taurus (domestic cattle). RNAcentral describes it as "long non-coding RNA NONBTAT007516". Lineage: Eukaryota; Metazoa; Chordata; Mammalia; Artiodactyla; Bovidae. The record is from RNAcentral.
UGAAAGUAAAGUAUAUGGUUUUAGAUACUGUGAAUCUGUUGUUUUCCGUUUAGCCAAAUAUCUGCUUAAAUUGUUCAUGUCCUAAAGAAGAGUUCAUCCUGACAGUUCUCUCAUUCGUGGGUGUUGAUGUAUGCACACACGCUAUCAAGACUUAAUGCUUUGCUAAAACUGGCUGCAGACCAGGUGAUUUUAGAAUCUGCACUUCAGAGAUAAAGAAACCUGCAAGCUCUCCCCUGUGCCAAAAAUACCACAUACAGUGUUUACAAAUGUCUAGAAUUUUGCACUGCCAUAGGGUACCUGAGGUUACUUUACUGGAAUUGUCCGCAUCUGUGAUUAGCUGAGUUGCAGUUUAGCAUAUGAGGAGAAAUAUUGGAGACUCUAAAGCUAAACUGGAAAUGGAAAUUAUCUGCGGUGGUGGUUCAGGUGACCCCCCAGACCUAAUCUGGAAACAGUUUUUUCCAGAUGGCCUUGAGAUACUCUUUUUGUUGAUAGAGCUUUCCUUGCUGGCCAUUGCUAUAUUCUUUCUUUAGCAACCAGAUCUCUUUUUCUUCUGUGGGAAAAUGUCCUAUUAGUAUUUUGAGAUCUUUUAAUGCAAUGAAUAUGCAAUCCCAAAUAAUGCCACUGUUGGUGAAUGUGGUAUUGUUAAAAUAUUAUAAUAAGCUUACACUUGGGGUUUCCUGUACUUCUCUCAAGAGCCUUUUGAAUGACUGGAAUGUCACAGAGAAAGAAGUGUUCAGAAAGAGGUAGUUAGUAUUUCUGGGAAGCUUACCUGAAAUCCAGGAUGCUGCUUCUGCAGGUUGCUCUUCACUGGGGAUCUUUAUUAAAUGUCAUCUUGGAGGAUAGCCCAGCAGGUAGAACUGCUUAUUUCUUGGGGCAGGAUGGGUCAAGAAUCCUAAAAGGGGCCAGAUGGUGCUGUCAGAGCAAUUCCUUUCUCAGUUGCUGUAGUUUGAAAAAUACUUGUUGUAGUUGCUGUAGUUUGAUAAAUACUUUAUUGAAAAUUAAUACUUAAAACAUUUUAUCAGAAUAUCUGAUUUCUUAUCCCAAGGCUUUUUUUUGUUUUUGUUUUUAAACAGUAAAAACUUUGUUGUCAGACAUUUCCCAUUCCUGUUGUUCUUUUUCCUUGGAAUUCAAAGUUAUUAUCUACUUCUGGAUAUUGCUUUUAUAUUGAAGGCCUUUCUGUAUCACCCCUUGGACGGUUGUAACUCCAGUGUCUUUAGAUAAUAUUCCUCUUUUCCAGUCAGUCCUGGGGAAUGUUUCUCCUGCAGAAUUAGGUGGUGGAGUCUAGCAAUAAGAAGCAAAGACAUGACAUCAGAGCUACUGUCUAUUAAAAACAACUGUAGAUGAAGAUUUGUGUGUAUGAACUGUUUAUUUCAUCAGUGUGUUGGAGUGUAGGAGAUUUGUGUAUGUGAGCUG